Molecule: non-coding RNA, 18186 nt
Organism: Callithrix jacchus (white-tufted-ear marmoset)
Lineage: Eukaryota; Metazoa; Chordata; Mammalia; Primates; Cebidae
Source: RefSeq, a predicted model, not a curated record
GGCAGAAAACCACAUUGCCAUGUAUGUACCCAUACAACAAUCCUGCAAGUUCUUCACAUAUACCCCCAAAACCAAAAACACAAUAAAAUACGUAUAUAUUUUUUAAAAAGUGCUUAAUAAGUGUUAGUUUUGUUACUAUUAGCACCAUGCUAGAAAAUUCUGUUGCUUAGUUUGCUUCUAAACUGAGGAUGAUUUUGCCCCUCCCUCCCUAAGGACAUCUGGUGAUAUGUGGAGACAUUUUGGUUUUCAUAACUGAGAGUUGUUGCUGCAGGCAUCUUACGGACCAGGGAUGCUGCUAAAGAUCCUAAAAUGUACUGAACAGCCCCCUAAACCAUCUAAAUGUCAGUAGAGCUGAGGGUGAAAAACCCUCACAGAAACCCUGCAGGCUAACAAAACUUUGCUAGUUCACUAGUGGGUAAGAUGUCAGAAGUUGUGGAAGAAUUCAGAUUCAUGUCUGUUACAUGAAACAACAGGACACACUUCUGUCUGGAAUGUGUUUGGCACUGUUGUAGAAUAAAGUUUCAGAAAAAUUUAAUGAAGGUAUUUUUAAAGUAAAUCUCAUCAAUCUGGGAAUGUUAAAACAUGUAGGUGGACAGAACUUAGACUGUCUCCCUAGUAAACUUGUUGAUCCAUGAUUUUUCCCCACUUCAAGCCCCAACCUUUGGCUCAUCAGGUAGAGCAAAAGCAUUGGCCCUUCGUAACAGGACUCACACAGAGACCUAAGCAGCCAAGGCAGUGGCAGAACUGAUCAGGCCUAAGAAUAUCUCUGAUUCUUCUUUUCCUUAGAGGCUGCAUACAAUCUGUCCCCAGAUCCUGGAACCUUUUUAGUGCAAAACAAAUCCUGAAUCUUUCCCCUUCUCUCCAUCACCUUAGUUACUCUGGUCUAAUAGUCUAGAUUAUGCUAAGAGCCUCUUCUCCCGUCUCCCAUCUAUUCCUGGCCCAUGUAGUUUUUAGCAGCCAGAGUGAUCUUUGAAAAAUGCGUAUCACAUCAUGCCAUUCUAACUUAGAUGGCUUCCCUGAGAAUAAAAUCUGACCUCCUUUUAUGGCUUUCAUAUAGCUAUAUAUGAUCUGAUCCCCUACCUCCCCCUCCGGUCUCAUUUCAUACCAGCCUACCCUUCAUGCUUCAUCCAUGUUGGCCUUCUUUCAGAACAUAAAUAUGAAAGUAAGUUAGAUGGGAACCUGCAUUUGGCCAGGCUGUAACAAAAACAUUUGGACAUAAAAUUAAAUUUACAAAGAGGAAUCACCAUUUCUAAACAUGGCUUAAAACUGAGCUAGUUAAUCUAGUCACAGUGCAGACAAAUUGACGUAGAGCUUAAUUGUUCAAUUCUAUACCAAACUAGUCCGGGUAUCAAGUAAACCAAGAAUAGGUUUCCUCAAAGUAAUAAAAGAGAUUGAAGAUUCAAGGUCAGAUACACAUAGAUUUCACUAGUGAUAAUGACUUUACAUAUGUCUUAUAAAUAAUCUGCCCAGAGAUGAUGCAUCAUUGGAUUCAUGAGUUGGCACUUACUUGCAGCUUCUGCCAGUGAAAAAAACAAAGCAGCUUUUUUUCUUAGUAUUGAUUUCUUUUUAAUUGCCCUGUAGUCCAAGAGUGUGUUUGGAAUGAAUAGCAGCUUUUUUUUGAUAGCAAAUAAAAAAUAAAUGAAUCUUAUUUUUUUCUGUACCAGUUCCCAGGAAAUCUCAAGAAAAUACAACAGGGUAAAAUAUUUUUAAAGCCAAAUUUGCCCUGUAAUCCCAGCACUUUGGGAGGCCAAGGCGGGUGGAUCACAAGGUCAAGAGAUCGAGACCAUCCUGGUCAACAUGGUGAAAGCCCGUCUCUACUAAAAAAAAAAAAUACAAAAAAUUAGCUGGGCAUGGUGGCGCGUGCCUGUAAUCCCAGCUACUCAGGAGGCUGAGGCAGGAGAAUUGCCUGAACCCAGGAGGCAGAGGUUGCGGUGAGCUGAGAUCGCGCCUUUGCACUCUAGCCUGGGCUGGAGUAACAAGAGUGAAACUCCGUCUCAAAAAAAAAAAAAAAAAAAAGCCAAAUUUGCCUGAGAACUCUUUCUGAUUAUUUCCAAACCCUGGGCAAAGGAGCUAAUAUUUAUUAUUAAGGUUAGAUUAAAAGCUGCUAAAAUGUAGUUAUAAAAAAAGAAGUACUUUUAAUAGUUACAUUAAAGUUAAAAAUUAUAAAAAUUAACUAUUGCCUCAUUUUAUGAAAUCUACUAACAUGCUAUGUUGCUUUUUCUAGUCUCUGAAAUAAAAUCUUUCCCCUUCUGUACAUAUUAUUUUUUAAAAUCUCAAUGAUUAAAGCCAUAAAGGAAAAAUGCCUGGUAACUUAAAAUGUCAGAUAUGAAAUCCACUUUUAUCAUUUAUAGUUCAGAGAUCUGGCUGUUUUAAUAUACUAAUGGGGCAGUGGAGACAGCUCCCAGAGAGAGCUGCUUAAUAGAGGGAUGGUUAAGUGAAAACAUAAGGAUUUUCCAUCUGUUAGAAAACAGUAUGUGGUAACCAGUUCUUAUGGUUAGAUACAUUAAUCGAAUGACACAGGAAAUACAGGACACUACAUUUUGCUUGAAGAGCUCUUUUUGAGGAAAAAAAAUGAAUAAUGAAAAAAUUUAUAAGGCUGCUAGCUGCUUCAAAAGCCAGAAAACAACUCAAAGGCUAUUACUGUUUUAUAUGUGCUAGAAAUGGCUAAGUUAAUACUUAAACUGUUUAAGUUUUAAUCAGCAUGAACAUUCCUGAAAGAGCUUCAAAAGUGAAGAUGAGUAAGAUAGGAGGAUUUAAGAUCCUGUCCCCAAAGUAUGGUAGAUAUGAAAGUUUACAGAUUAUUAUAUUCCAGUUGUUUUUACAGGUUUCUGUGAAUUAUAUUACAAGCUAUACCAGUGGAAGAUAUUUCCAAAUACCAAAUACUUUUUGGUUCAUUGGUAAAUAUUUCCAAAACAGAAAUACUUUUUAACACAACGAAGCAGUUGAAUACUACAAUAGUUUAUUUUAUUCUUUUUUUUUUUUUUUUUUGCAGGUGGGAAAGGAGAAAGGUAAGGGUGGGAAUUUUAUGGUAAUACAAAUGUUACAUAGUCCCCUAACAUUUCCACUACAUUAUAAGCCUAUAGGAGUUCUUUUAAAGACUUCCACGGCUUCCAUGGUACUAUGAGUGGUAUGAAAAGUACCCACAGAUGUGUUCUACACUUCCCUCUAUGUUUUCAAGUACAUGCAGUAAGGAGAAAAUUGCAACAACCAAAGGGAUUUUUUUUUUAAAACAUCUAGGUAUAUAUCUUGUCAAAACCAUUAGAGCAUGCCAGAACAUGGUAUAACAAAUAAACCUUUUACUUAAGAUGUCAAAUCUCAUGAUCACCAAAAAAUUCUAAAGCAAAAAUACAGUUAGCCCAAACUUAACUGUUAUUGAAAUUUCAAGUGUAAUGGUUUUAUUUUCCAACUGCUUCAUGAUUUUGGCAGUCUUGUCUUUUUUUAAUCAUAAAAUAUGUUUAAUGACUGAAUUUUGAUGACACUAAUAUUUUAUUUAUGGUUUUUAUUUAAGAGGUUUUGCUUUUAUAAUAAUAAUUGCUACUUUGUUGAGUUCUAUGUACCAGGCACAAUUGUAGGCAUUUUUCAUAAACUGAUUUAAAUCUCUCCCACCACACACCUUGUGAAGUAGGUACUAUUUAGUUAUAUUUACACCUGAAUGGUUGUUCAGUGAGGUUAAGAAACUUGCACAAGGUCACACAGAAUUCCAGCCCAGGUCUAUUAGACUCUAAAAUCUUGGCACAGUCUUAACUGUUAGGUUGUAUUGUCUCCUUAGGUUAUGUAUGUAGGAUUUUUGGGUAUGUUUAAAUAUUCACCUUUGAUUCACAGUGUUAAGAAAUACACUUAAGCCACUACCUAUUUACUUAGAGAUGAAAAUGUUUCCAAAUUCAUAAGUCAGAACACAUUUUUCUUCAGAUAUUUAACACAGAGAAGGGAUGAAGACCAUAUUUUAUUCCCAUCUCCCAUGGUUUCAUAUUUUUAUAAACAUUUCUAGAAUGCUAUACAAUAGCAGCUAUAUUCUGCAACUUUAAUUAAAGGUCGAACAUUUCUUCUAUAUUCUGAUGAUGUAGUGAUAGUUAGUGCAUGCACUAAAACAAUCAGAUGACUCCACCAAGGGAAAGAGCAUUGCAUUAGCAACUCUUCGGGGGAAAUGUGUUAGUGAAUUAUUUCAUGAAUGGAGUAAGAAUAAAAUGAUUGUCUUAGAGGCUAUAAAUAAAUCCAUUUAAGUUAAAACUCAAGUCUAGGAAUUGAUACCUGCUUUGGCCAAAUUUUAUUUUGGGUAAUCUAACUUUAAAAAAAAAUCUACCUUUCCCUAUAGUAUUUUAAAUGGUUGUUUUAUAUUACUCUUUAUUGGUUCUAACUUGGUUGAUAUUAUCUAUGCAGAUUAACCCAAAGCCUUUCUGAAUAAAGAUUUAUCAUCCUCAAGAGAAAAACGAAUGGCAAAUAUUGUGCCAGACCUCAAGUACUUAAAAAGCAUUUCCUUGUACUAAGUACAGAAGGUUCAUUCUUCUUCUUUCAUUAUUCUUUUUCAGGCCACUAGGAAAUGAGGGUGUACAACACCCUUCCAGAGCCAACUUCAACAAAACUCAAAUUUAUGUACAUCCUAGAAUACUAGUGUGUUCCAAUCAAGAAAUUAAAUUUUAAAAAACCAUCCAUCUUAGGUACACUUGGGGCACUGGGCCUACAUUAUUUUUGCAUAAAGCCUAAUUGCUUCUAGAUGACUUCUGCUUGUUGAUUAGAUUUGUUGCAGCUCUCAGAGUGGCAAAGGUGACUAUAGAAAAUCAUAAAAUAUCCUUCAAAACAGUGCAUACAAAUCAAUAAUAAAAUAAUAUGAUCCCAAUAGAAAUGUGAACUAAGGGAUGCUAGGUUACAAAAGCAGAAAUUAUGGGUAAUUUACCUUGUUAAUGUAGAAUAUGAUGAAAUUAGUAUUAUCAUAUACUGCUAGUAGACUUGAACUUUCAGCAAAUUAGUUUGUCUCAAAAAUGGUCUUUCCCUUUCUCUUUGACAUAGUGAGCUGAAGAGAAGGAGAAGUAGGGGUAGGGUGGGGGGAAUGACAAGAGAAGGAGGAGAAUGGGAAGAGUGAAAGCCAUGAAAUGGUAGUGACUGAAAAGAGUAUGGUGGUAUUUACAAGAUAGUGUUUGGAGUCGGGAAGUUGAAUUGCAGCCCUGCCACUUACCUUUAGCUGGCUGUGUACCCUCAGGUAAUUUACUUGACCUUUCUAAGUCUCAUUUUCCUCAUCCGUGAAAUAGACAGUACUUUCCUAAUUAGGCUGCUCUGAAAACUAAUUGAAUUCAUGUAUGCAAAGUAAACUGUUUGCUUUUAUACUACAUAAUAGUAUGUGUUAUAUGCUUAUAAGACCUAAAAUGCAAAAUUAUCAAAAUCUGAUUUGGUGCAGUGCCCAUCCCAAUCCAUGUUAAUCCCAAAUAACCCAUUUGAUUCAAAUAACACUGACUUCAGUAGAAAAAGGCAUGGUUCUCCUGAGCGAUUACAGCUACAGGCAAAUUAAAAAAAGAGUGCCAUGAUACAGACCAACCUAUAGCACCAACUCUCUCAGUCUCCUUCAGUCACAGCAGUACAGACCUUAGGAUCUUUAUCUCUGGACAUGCGGUAAUAAAAUAGUUCCUUUUCAAAUAACUCAGGAAAGCACUGAUUUCUUAGGACCCAUAGCCAUGGUAGUAAUUCCUCACCCAACCUGCAUCCUCAGUUAUUUCAUUGCUUUGUGGCCCUUCUGAAAAGUAUUCCUUUAGAAGAACUGAGAAAUACUCCCUUUUCUGACAGAUGGCAGAUACAGAGAGUCACAACUUAGCAGAAACCCUGAGUAGAAAACCACCACAAGAACCAGUACUGGUAGCAAAGCCUGAACUGUAAUAAACAAAUUGCCAUAGACUCAGUGUGGACAAUUUUGAGAGUUAAAAACUUCCAGGGGACCCAGUGCUUUCGUGAGUUUUACCUCCUGGAGCUCCACCAGGAAAAAUCUCAGGUAUUGGGGGUAAUGGGGAGACACAUUCUAUUCUGAACAAGGCCUUCCCCCAAGAAAAAAUAUUUUACCAGAUCAUAAUCUACUGUGGUUUUAGAAUCUAACUGACCAACUCCAGGGCAAAACCCAACUCCAGCUAGCUCUAACUUUCUAUAUGGAACAGAAAAUACCCAACUCCAGCGCUCUCCAGCCAUCUGGUCCCACCUAAUUCUGGGAAAAGAAGUGAAGGUCACUUGUGAAGUUCGGACCUAGGGCCACAGGCUCACUUAAAGACUAACAGGCCAAGCAUGGUGGCUCACGUCUAUAAUCCCAACACUUUGGGAAGCUGGGGUGGGAGGAGCAGUUGAUGACAGAUGCUCAAGAACAGCCUGGGCAACACAGAGAGACCCCAUUUCUUAAAAAAAAAAAAAAUUAGCUGGGCAUGGUGCUGUGUGCCAGUAGUCCCAGCUAUGAGCACAGGAGGUAGAGGCUGCAGUGGGUGAAGAUCAUGCCACUGCAUUCUAGGCUGGGUACCAGAGUGAGAGCUUUACUCUGUCCUAAUUUUUUUAAAAGGUUGAUAUAUAAUCAUAAAAUUAUAGAACUAUACCUCACUACCACAGGACUAAUGGUCUAUUUACUGCAACAGACUAAUUUACAUAGGUCUAUUUAUUACCAAUAGACUAAUGGUCUAUUUACUGCAAUUCUUUCCACCCAGUACAUCAUGUCCAACUUUCAACAAAAAAUUAACAAAGCAUACUAAAAGGCAAAACCACUGCUUGAAGAAACAGAACAGAUAUCACAAACACAGUCAGAUAUGGCAGGAAUGUUGGAAUUAUCAGAUCAGGAAUUUAAAACAACCACAGUUAAUAUUCUAAGGGCACUACUGGAAAAAUUAGGCAACAUGCAACAAUGGUUGGAUAAUGUAGGCAGGGAGAUGGAAAUUCUAAGAAAGAAUUAAAAAGAAGUGCUAGAGAUCAAAAACACUGUAACAAAAUGAAUGCAUUCGAUUGGCUCAUUAGUAUACUGGACAAAGCUUAAGAAAAGUAUCUCUGAGCUUAAAGCACAUGUCAGUAGAAACCUACACAACUAAAAAGCAAAGAGAAAAAAGACUGAAAAAAAAAGAACAAUAUCCAACAAUGUGGAACAACUACAGAAAAUGUAACACAUGCAUAAUUGAAACAUCAAGAAAAUUAAAAGAGAAAAGAACAGAAGCAAUAAAUAAAGUAAUAACGACUGGGAAUUUCCUGAAACUAGUUUCAGACACCCCACCACAGAUCCAGAAAGUUCAGAGAACACAAAGCAGGAUAAAUCCCAAAAAAAGCAAGAAGAAAAAAUAAAGGAAGAGGAGCAAAAAGAAAAAAAGAAUGAAGAAAAAUGAAGAGAAUCUGAGGGAAUUACAGCAUCAAAUAGAAGAAAACAUGCAUUAUGGAAACCUCAGAAGGAGAAUCAAGAAAGGGGUAGAGGACCUAUUUAAAGAAAUAAUGGUCAGAAAUUUCCCAAAUCUGAGAGAAAUAGAUAUACAAAUUCAAGAAUCUCAGAUAAUUCCAACCAGAAUAAAUCUAAAGGGAUCAACACUGAGACAUAUCAUCAUAUUAUAAUUAAACUGUCUAGUGACAGAGAUCUUGAAAGCAGAAAAAAAAAAAAAAAAAAAAAAAAGCAACCAAGUACAUACAAAGGAGCUUAUAUUAGAUUCUAAGCAGACUUAGCAGCAGAAACCCUGCAGGCUAGGAAGUGGGAUGAUGUAUUCAAAGUACAGAAAGAAAAGCAGUGCCAAUCAAGAAUGCUAUGUUUAGUAAAAGUGCCCUUUUAAAAAAAGGAAGAAAUUAAGACUUUUACAAAUAAAAUUUGAGGGAGUUUAUCACCACUACUAGAAAUAUUCUAUAGGAAAUUCCGAAAGGGCACCUAUAAGUUGAAGUGAAAAGAUGAUUAACAGGAACAAAAAACCCAUAUAUUAAUAAAAACCUAAGUCCCAGGCAAAGGUAAAUAAAUAGACAAAUUUAGAACCUGUAUGAUUGUAAUGUAGGUGAGUAAGUCACUUAUAAAUCUGGUAUUGAAUUUUUUUUAUUCUAGACAGGAACUGGCUCUGUCACCAUGCUGGAAUGCAGUAGCAUGAUCUUGACUCUCUGCAACUUUUGCCUCCCAGGCUCAAGCCUUCCUCUUGCCUCAGUCUCCCAAGAAGCUGGGACUACAGGCACUUGCCACCAUGCCUGGCUAAUUUUUGUGUUUUUUGUAGAUCUGAGGUUUCACCAUGUUGCUCAGGCUGGUCUUAAACUCCUGAACUCAAGUUAUCUGCACACCUUGGCCUCCCAAAGGGAUGGGAUGCAAUUACAGGCAUGAGCCACCACUCCUGGCCCAGAAUUUUUUUAAAAGCAUAAAAAGUAAUUAUCAAUCUAUAUUAAGUGAUAAGCAAUGUAAAAACAGGCAAUUUUAAUGAUCUAUAAUAUAAAAUGGGAUGCAGAGAGAUAUAUAAAGGAGCAUGCUUUUUGUAUGUGAUGUUACUUUGUACGUGAUGUUAAAUAUUUAAAAUUUGUCAGUUUAAAAUAGAUCAUUAGAACUUUUAAGAUGUUUUAUGUAAUUACAAGAGUAACUAUGAGGAAAGUAUCUGUAGAAUACAUACAAAGGGAAAUAAUGAAAUCAAAACAUGGCUAGAAAAAAAUCAACAAAAAACAAACACAGCGAGAGGAAAGACAAAGCUGUAAGACAGACAAAAAAACAAUGAACAAAAUUAAUACUAAAUCCUUUCCUAUCAGUAAUUACUUUAAACAUAAAAGGAUUAAACACACCAAAGUAAUACCAAAUCCUUUCCUAUCAGUAAUUAUUUUAAACGUAAAAAGAUAAACCAUACCAAGACAUAGAUUGAUUGAAUGGCUAAAAAAUUUGAGAUCCAACUGUAAGCUGCCUACAAGAAACUCACUUUAUAUCUAAAAACACAUUGGCUGAAAGUGAAAAGGUGGAAAAAGGUAUUCUAUCCAAAUGAGAAACUGGAGAGCAGAACUAGCCAUACAUAUAUCAGAUAGAAUAGACUUUAAGGGGGAAAAAAAACUAUCAUAAGAGAAAAAGGGAGAUAUUAUAUAAUGACAAAAUGGUAAAUUCACCAAAAAGAUAUAACAAUAAAUACAUAUACAUCUAACAUCAAAGCAGUGGGAUAUGUGAAGCAACAUUGACAGAACUGAAGGAAGAUGGCCAGGCACGGUGGCUCGUGCCUGUAAUCCCAGCACUUUGGGAGGCCAAGAUGGGUGGAUCACCCGAGCUCAGGAGUUCAAGACCAGCCUGGUCAACAUGGUGAAACCCCAUCUCUACUAAAAAUACAGUUACCCAGGCAUAGUGGUAGGUGCCUAUAAGCCCAGCUACUCAGGAGGCUGAGGCAGGAGAAUCACCUGAACCCAGGGGGAGGAGGAUGCAGUGAGCCAAGAUUGCACCACUUCACUCCAGCUUGGGCAAAAGAUUGAAAAUCCAUCUAAAAAAAAAUUUUUUUUAAAGAACUGAAGGAAUAAAUGAGCAGCAACACAGUACUAACAGGCCACAUCAAUACCUCACUUUCAGUAAGAAUAGAACAACAAGACAGAAGAUCAAACAGAAGACACAGAUGACUUGAAUGACUCUUUAGACCAAUUGGAACUAACAAACAUACAGAACACUCCACCCAACAACAGGGAAUACACAUUUCUUCUCAAGUGCACAUGUAAUAUUCUCCAACAGAAACUACAUGUUAGGUCACAAAACGAGCCUUAAAUAUAAGAAAAUUGAAGUCGUACAAAUAAAUUCUCCAAUCUCAGCACAAUGAAACUAUAAAUCAAUAGCAGAAGAACAAGCAAAUCCACAAAUGUGUGGAAAUUAAGCAAUGCAGUGUAAAACAACCAAUGAGUCAAAGAAGAAAUCACAAGGGAAUUUAAAAAAUAUCUGGAGAUAAAAUGAAAACACAGCAUACCGAAACUGAUGGAAUGCAACAAAGCAGUAUUAACAGGAAGAAAGACCUCAAAUCAACAACUUAGCCUUACACUUAAAGGAAUAAAGAAGAUAAACAAAAUCCACAUCUAGAAGGAAGAAAAUAACAAAGAUCAGAGCAGCCAUAAAUAAAACAAAUAGGAGAAAAGAUAGAAAAAAUACAAUUAAACCAAUAGUUGGUAUUUUGAAAAGAUGAACAAAAUCAGCAAAUCUUUAGUUGCAAUAACUAAAAUGGAAAGAAGACUGAAAUAACUAAAAUCAGAAAGAAAAGAGAAGAUGUUCAACUGAUGUCACAGAAAUAAUAAGAAUUUUGAGACUUCUAUUAAAUUACAAUCAAACCAGAUAAUCUAGAAGAAAUGGACAAAUUCCUAGAAACAUAUAGCCUACCAAUAUUAAAUCAUGUAGAAAUAUAUGUGAACAUAUUUUUAUUACUAGAGUAGAUAUGUGAACAUAUACCUAUAACUAGUAAAGAACUGAAACAGUAAUAAUAAUAAUAAUAAAACCCUCCCAGAAACAACAACAAAAAAGGCCAGAACCAGAUAAAUUCACUGGAGAAGUCCUUCAAACAUUUAAAUAAGACCUAACACUAAUCCUUCUCAAAGUCUUUCAAAGAACUGAAACACUUCCAAACUCAUUCUGUGAGUUCAGAAUUACCUGAAUACCAAAUGAGACAAACAUAUAAGAAAAUAAAACUGCAGCCAAAUACCUCUUAAGUAUACUGAUAUGAAAAUCCUCAACAAAAUGCUAGUAAACUGAAUACAACAGUACCUUAAAAGGAUUAUACACCAUGACCAGUGGGACUUAUUCAUGGAAUGAAAGGAUGGUUCAACAUGUAAAAAUAAAUCUAUUUAAUACACCACAUUAACAAGAUGAAGGACAAAACCACAUGAUCAUUCCAAUUGAUGCAGACAAAAUUCAACAAUCCAUGAUACAAACACUCAAUAAACUAGGAACAGAAAAAAAGUACCUCAGCAUAAUAAAAUUCAUAUAUGAGAAGGCUACAUUUAAUAUCACAGUCAACAAAGACUGAAACUUUCCCUCUAAGAUCAGGAAUAAGGCAAGGAUGCCCACACCACUACUAUUCAACACAGUACUAGGAGGUCUAUCCAGAGCAAUUAGACAACAAAAUGAAAUAGAAAACAUAGAUUGGAAAAUUAGUAAAAUCAGUUCCCUUCACAGAUGACAUGUUUUAUAAAAACUGUUAAAAUUAGUAAAUUCAGCAAAGUUACAGGAUGCAAAAUCAAAGUUUAGAAACUGCAUUUCUAUACACUAACAAUCAAUUUACAAAGGAAAUUAUCCCCCAACCAAAGGAGCUUGAAAAAAAAGAAAUUAAGAAAACAAUUCCAUUUACUAUAGCAACAAAAAGGAUAAAAUAGGAAUGACCUCAACUAAGAAGGUAAAAGAUUUCUACACUACACUACACUAUACUACACCACACUACACUACACUACUUUGAUUUCUUACAAGAAAUCAAAGAAGAUAGAAAUAAAUGGAAUGAUAUUCCAGGCUCAUGGAUUGUAAGACUUGACAUUGUCACACUGUCCAUGCUACCCACAGUGAUCUAAAAAUUCAAUGUACUUCUUAUCAAAAUACCAAUUACAUUUUUUGCAGAAACAGAAAACAGCAUCCUAAAAUUCUCAAGGGACUAUGAAUAGCCAAAACAAUCUUGACAAAGAACAGAGUUAGAAGACUCAUUUCUAACUCUGAUUCAAAACAUUCUACACAGCAAUAAUUAAGAUGGUAUGGUAUAAAGAUAGAUAUAUACACCAAUGGAACAGAAUUAAGAGUCUAGGAAUAAACCCUUAUAUAUAUGGCCAAAUGAUUUUUGACAAGGAUGCCAAGACUACAGUGAAUAAAAGACAGUCUCCUUAACAAAUGGUGCUGGGAAAACUGGGAUAUCCACAUGCAAAAAUAAGUAAAAUAAAAAUUAAGCUGGACAUUAACUUAUAUCAUACAUAAAAUUAACUCAAAAGGGAUUAAAGACGUAAACAUAAGGCCUAAAACUAUUAAACUUCUAGAAAAAAAUACAGAGGAAAAAGUUCAUGAUACUGGAUUUGAGAAUUAUUUCUCAGAAGUGACACCAUAAGCACAAGGAACAAAAGAAAAAAAUAGGCAAAUGGAACUAUGGGAAACUUUUGUGCAUAAACAGACACGAUCAAAUUAUGGACUGGGCAAAAAUAAUUGCAACUCAUGUAUCCGAUUUGGGGUUAAUAUCCAGACUAUAUAAGGAACUUCUAAAACUCAACAGUAAAUAAAUAAAUAAAUAACCUAAUUUAAAAAUGAGAAAAUGACUUCAAUAGAAAACUCUCCAAAGAAGAUAUACGACUAGCCAAUAAAUACUUGAAAAGAUGCUUGUCAUCACUAAUCAUCAGGGAAAUGCAAAUCAAAACAAUGAGACAUCAACUCAUACUCACUAGAAUGGUCACUAUCAGAAGAGCAGAAUAUAAAUGUUGAGCAUGUGGUGAGCCCUUGUGCACUGCUGAUGGGAAUGUAAAAUGGUGCAGGUAGUACGGAGAGCAGUAGAGAUACUUCAAAAAUUAAAAGUACAGUUAGAAUAUGAUUCAGCAAUUCUACUUCUAGAUAUAUAUCCAAAAAUAAUUCAAAGCAGGAUCUAAAAGAUAAAUUUUCACCCAUGUUCACUGAAGGGGUAGAGUAAAAUAGACAAGGGGUAGAGUGAAAACAAUCUAAAUGUCUAUUGACAACAGAUGGAAAAGGAAAAUAUGGUAUAUACAUAAAAUAGAAUAGUAUGAAAUCUUCAAAAAAAAAAAAAGAAUAUUCUGUCACAUGCCUCAACAUAGGUGAACCGUGAGGGCAUUAUGCUAGUCAAAAUAUGCCAGUUGCAAAAGGACAAAUGCUGUAUGAAUCCACUCAUAAAAAGUAUCUAAAGUAGUCAAAUCAUAGAAAAGAAAAAGCAGAAAUGUGGUUAGCAAGGGCUGGAGGGAUGAUGAGGAGGGAAUUAUUAGUGUUUAGUGAGUACAGAGUCUUAGUGUUAUAAGAUUUAAAAAAUGCUAGAGAUCAGUUGCACAAUACUGUGAAUAUACCUAACACUAUUGAACUGUACACUUAAAAAUGGUUAAGAUUGUGAAUUUAUUAAGUGUUUUUUGUACCACAAUAAAAAAUGCAAGCAAAAAAAGAUGAAGAAAAAAUAAAAACUUUCAUAAACAUAAUUUGAGGUAAUUUUUACCAACAGAACUGAUUUGUGAGAAAUGUUAAAAGAAGUUCUUUAGAAGAAAAAUGACAUGGGUUAGAAACUAGAUCUACAUAAAGGAAGGAAGAGUCCUGGAGAAGAAAUAAGUAAAAUUAAAAUAAAAACUUCUACUUUUCUUAUUCUUACUUGAUUUUACUUGUGAACAAACGAAUGGCAGUUUGUUCAAAAUAAUAACAGCAAUAAUAAAUUAUGUAUGCUAUGUAUGUAUGUAUGUAUGUAUAAGUGAAAUGAAUAACAGCAACGAUACAAGGGAUGGAGGGUAGAAAUUAGGAAUAUUCUGUUAUUAUAAGGAACUUGUACUACCCAUGAAGAAGUAUAGUGUUAUUUGAAAGUCAAAUUGGAUUAGUUGUAAAUAUACAGUGCAAGCCCUAGGGCAACCACUAAAAAAGAAAACACACAUACAUAAAUAAUAUUAAUAUGCUAAGAAAGGAAAGUGGAAUCAUAUGAAAUGCUUAAUUAAAACCACAAAUUGUGAAAAAAAAAGUAAAACAAAAACAGAAACAAGGGCAACAAAUACAGAACAAUGAUAAAUAUAAUAGCUAUUAAUCUAACUAUAUUCAUAAUCACUUUAGAUGUCUAUGUCCUGAAUACACUAAUUAAAAGACAGAUUGCCAGAAUGGAUCAGAUUAAAAAAAUAAGAUCAGCUAUAUUUUCUCAAAAAGAAACCACUUUAAAUAUUAAGACACAUCCCUGCUGUGAUUCUGUCCUGUGCAGCUGUUCUCUGGGGCUGCAGUCAUUUAUCUCCAUUUGCCUCCUCUACCACCUAAGUGCAUGCCACCACCCCGGUGGACAUGGACAUUAGCCCCCUGAGGCCCCAGAACUAUCUUUUCAGUUAGUUCUGAAAGGCCAAAAAAGAUUAUCACUUUAGGUUGAUAAUGAUGAAAAUGAGCACCAGUUAUCUUUAAGAAUGGCCAGUUCAGGGGCUGGUGCAAAGGAUGAAUUGCACAUUGCUGAAGCAGAGGCAACGAAUUACGAAGGCAGUCCAAUUAAAGUAACACUGGCAACUUUGAAAAUGUUUGUACAGCCAAUGGUCUCCCUUGGGGGCCUUGAAAUAACACCUCCAGUGAUCCUACAGUUGAAGUGUGGUUUGGGGCCAUUGCUUAUUAGUGGACAGCACUUAGUAGCUGUGGAGGAAGAUGCAGAGUCAGAGAAGGAAGAAGCAAAGUCAGAAGAUGAAGAGGAGGAGUAUGAAACUCAUAAGUAUAUAUGGAAAGCAAUCUGCCCCUGGAGGUGGUAGCAAGGUUCCACAGAAAAAAGUAAAACUUGCCACUGAUGAAGAUGAUGAUGAUGAUGAUGAAGAUGCCAAUGAUGAUUUUGAUGAUGAGGAAACUGAAGAAAAAAUGCCAGUGAAGUAAUCUAUAUGAGAUACUCCAGCCAAAAAUGCACAAAAGUCAAAUUGGAAUGGAAAAAACUCAAAACCAUCAACACCAAGAUCAAAAGGACAAGAAUCCUUCAAAAAACAGGAAAAAACUACUAAAAUACCAAAAGGACCUAGUUCUGCAGAAGACAUUAAAAUGCAAGCAGUUCAUCAAUUAUGUGAAGAAUUGCUUCUGGAUGACUGACCAGAAGGCUAUUCAAGAUCUCUGUCAGUGGAAGAAGUCUCUUUAGGAAAACAGUUUAAACAAUUUGUUAAAAUUAUUUCAUCUUAUUUCAUUUCCGUAACAGUUGAUAUCUGACUGUCCUUUUUAUAAUGCAGAGUGAGGACUUUCCCUAUUGUGUUUGAUAAAUGUUGUCCAGGUUCCAUUGCCAAGAAUGUGUUGUCCAAAAUGCCUGUUUUUAAAGUUGGAACUCUUUCCUUUGCUUGGUUUUCAGUAUGUAUGGAAUGUUAUGAUAGGACAUAGUAGUAGUGGUGGUCAGACAUGGAAAUGGUGGUGAGGCAAAAAUAUACAUGUGAAAUAAAACUCAGUAUUUUAAUAGAGUUAAAAAAAUUAAGACACAUAGAUUCAAAGCAAAGAUAUUGACAAGAAUAUCAUGUAACACCAAUCCAAAAAAUGUUAAAGCAAGCAUAUUUUCAGAUAGAGCAGACAUCUGGGCAAGAAAAAUCAUUACAGAUAAAGACAGAAAUUACAUAAUAAUAAAGGGAUCAAUUCUCCAAAAAAAAGUAACAAUAUGGCCAGGAGUGGUGGCUCAUGCCUGUAAUCCUAGCACUUUGGGAGGGCGAGGUGGGUGAAUCACUUUAGGUCAGCAGUUGGACCAGGCUGGCCCAACAUAGUGAAAUUCUGUCUUUACUAAAAAAUACAAAUACUAGCUGGGCAUGGUGGUGUGCACCUGUAGUCCCAGCUCCUCGGGAGGCUGAGGCAGGAGAAUUGCUUGAACCCAGGAGGCAGAGGCUGCAGUGAGCCGAGAUCGUGCCAUUGUACUUCAGCCUGGGUGACAGAGCAAGAGUAAAAAAACUCUAUCUCAAAACAACAACAACAAAAAACAAAAGAAAAAACCCAUGCGCGCACACGACACACACAAUAUUUAAUGUGUAUGCGCCUAAUAACAGAGUGCCAAAAUAUAUAAGGCAAAAACUGAUAGAACUGCAAGGAGAAACAGAUGAAUCUGCUAUUACAGUUGGAGACAUCGACACCCCCCUAUCUGAAAUGGACAGAUCCAGCAGGCAGGAAAUGAAUAAGGAUACAGUUGAACUUAACAUCAGUACCAGUCAACUGGAUUUAAUUGACAUACAGAGUACAUCAUCCAACAAGAAGUAGAAUAUACAUUCCUUUCAAGCUCACAUGGAACAUUCAUCCACUGAGAGACCACAUUCUGGGGCAUAAAGGAUACUUUAACAAUUUUUUAAAAAAUAAAAAUCAUACAAUAUUACCACUCAGACCACAAUGGAGUUAAACUAGAAAUAUAUAAAUACCAAUAGCAGGAAAAUUCCAAAACGUGGAGAUUUAAAAAAACACUUCUGAAUAACAAGUAGGUCAAAGAAGAAAUCUUAAGAGAAAUUUAAAAAUAUUUUGAAAAUAAGGAUACAACAUAUCAAAAUCUGUAAAAUGCAGUGAAGUUACCAAAAUAGCAGAAUAGAGGCAAUCUGAAAAAAAUGAGAAACAACUAUACAGUGACAACAUUAUCACCACCAAUAUUCCAGAACUCAAAACUGAGGUUGUGACAAUCCUUGGUGUCACAAAGAAGUGAAAAAUUAUGGGUAGAAGAGAGAAUGGACUUCUUCAUCCAUGAUGCUCCGCUCCUAAGUUGUUAGGCACUGGAUAAAAAAAGUCUCCCGAGACUCAUGGUUCCUAUCCUGGAGAAACUGAGACUGAGGUAGACAGAUAGCUUCUCCACCACCUAGGGUUACUUUGCAGGAAAGUGAUUCCUGCCUUAGCCCAAGGAAGCAUUGCUAGUGCCUUUUGGGAAAAAAAUCUGAGGACAGCUAUGGACAAUCAUGGAAGUAGGGCUAGGAACUCCAGCAAAGGAAACCUGGGGCUGCUCUUUAUCUCUCAGCCAAAGGAGAUGCCAAAUCAGAGAGAAAGUAGAUCAGCAGCAGUAGAAGUCACAUUCCAUGGGUCCUCUGGGCACAAACUCCUAGGUAAUUCCCUUCCCUGCCAACCUCAGCCAGGGAAUCCCCUUUUGAAUAUCCCCCUAACCCAAGAUGAAAGUGCACUAAACUUUUGUGAAAGCUACGCAAACCUGGGCUUAGGGUGCCAUCUAAUGCUGAAAAGAAGGCAGUGAUCUAAGUCUAAGGGAAUAAAACAAACCACAUACACACCUGAAAGACCAAACCAAGGCAGACAGCAAUAACUAGAAUAACAUAUCAAUGUGAAGACAUACAUGGACAUUUGUAAGAAACAACAUCAAACAGGGAACCACAACCUUCCUGAAUGUACAAAGCAAGGAGCUAGUGACUGACCCUACCAACUUGAGACAAAGAUGUGUAAGCUCUCUGAUCAAGAAUUCAAAAUAGCAAUUUUGAAGAAAUCUGGGGAACUCCAAGAUAGCACAGUAAAAAACUUUAGAAACUUAAUCAGAAAAAUUUAACAAAGAGAUUUAAAAAAUUAAAAAAUAGAAGUCCUGGAACUGUGAAAUACAUUGGCUGAACUGAAAAUGCAUGAGGGUUUUGACAGUAGAAUUAAUCAAGCAGAAGAAUCAGUGAGCUCAAGGACAAUUUGAAAAUACAUAAAGAGAGGACACAUAGGAGAAUAAAAAGGAAGAACACAUGUGAGAUCUAGAAAAUAGCCUAAAAAGAGCAAAUUUAAGAGUCACUGGCCUACAAGACAGAGUUAAGAAAGAACAAAGGGUAGAAAGCUUAUUCAAAGAAAUAAUAACACAAAACUUUUCAGAUCUAUAGAAAAAAAUAAAUAUCCAGGCAUAGGAAGGUCAAAGAAUACAGUACCCAAGAGAUUAAACCCAAAUAAGACUACCCCAAAGGCAUACACUAAUCAAAUUCUUAAAGGGCAAAACCAAAAAGGGAAGUCUAAAAGCAGGAAAAAAUGAAGCAGCAUAACAUAUAAAGAGCUCUAAGUCAUCUGGACAUCCAGUGGAAACCAUACAUGACUGAAAAGAGUGGGAUGACAUAUUAAAAAGCUAAAGGAAAAAAAGAAAAUAAAACCCUGCCAAUUGAGAUUACUAUACCCAGCAAAGCUAUCCUUCGACCAUAAAUGAGAGAUAAUAACUUCUGAAGACAAACAAAAGCUAAAGGAAUUUCAUCUUAUAAAAAAUGUCAAAGCUAGUUCUUCAAUCUGAAACAAAAGACACAUGCAACAAAAAAAUACCUGAAGUUAUAAAAGUAUUGGUAAAAGUAGGUAGACAAAUUUAGAAAAUCUAAUACUGUAGCUGGUAUCUCUAGUAUGAAGACUAAACCUACUAAAAUAAAAUAAUAAACUGUUAAAAGUUAAGUAAUAUAAAAAGAUGUAAAUUGUGUCAACGAAAGGUCAAAACGAGUGUCAGGGGGAUGAAAUAACAAUGUAAAGUUUUUUGUUUUUUUCUUUGUGAUCAACAUUGAGUUCUCAUAUAUUCAGAAUAACUUAUAAGAUGUCUUUUGAAAGCCUCAUAAUAACCACAAAGCAAAACACCUAUAAUAGGUAACACUAAAAAUAAAAAGCAAGUAAUUAAAACAUACUACCAGAGAAAAUUAUAAAAUCACAAAGAAAGAAGA